UAUGAUAUAUUGAUAUGCAUCUUACGUUAUUAUAUUUUUUUUUUUUAAAUUCAUCUCUAUUUUCUAUUUUUGAUUAUCAACAUAUAAGUACAUUCACUCCCUCUCUUCCAUUAUAUUCAUGUAUGUUGGAAUCUCAAGUCCAAGCCAACUUUCCAUUAGUAUGAUAUUGUCCGCUUUGGGCUCAUAACUCAAGCCCGCGCGGAUUUAUUGGCUUCUUCCCAAAAGGCCUCAUACUAAUUGGAGUGGGACUUAACUUAUAUAUUAGAAACUUCUCUUUCUAAUCUUCCGAUGUGGGAUAUUGGUUUGUAUUCCAAUACUCCCCCUCAAACGAAUAUCCAUUCCCCUAAGUCCACAAUCUUGACCUAGGCUCUGAUACCAAUUGUUGGAAUCUCAAGUCCAAGCCAACUUUCCAUUAGUAUGAUAUUGUCCGCUUUGGGCUCAUAACUCAAGCCCGCACGGAUUUAUUGGCUUCUUCCCAAAAGGCCUCAUACUAAUUGGAGUGGGACUUAACUUAUAUAUUAGAAACUUCUCUUUCUAAUCUUCCGAUGUGGGAUAUUGGUUUGUAUUCCAAU
RNAcentral lists this long non-coding RNA (572 nucleotides) under Capsella rubella. RNAcentral describes it as "long non-coding RNA (CRUB_LNC000809)". Lineage: Eukaryota; Viridiplantae; Streptophyta; Magnoliopsida; Brassicales; Brassicaceae. The record is from RNAcentral.